Molecule: long non-coding RNA, 1655 nt
Organism: Eptesicus fuscus (big brown bat)
Lineage: Eukaryota; Metazoa; Chordata; Mammalia; Chiroptera; Vespertilionidae
Exons: 7
Source: RefSeq, a predicted model, not a curated record
ACCCCUUCUGCGCCUCCAUAUAAACCCCACCCAGCCGGCCCCUAGCGCAGACGGCGAAGAGCGGGAUGGAGCGCGCCUUGGCUCGCUGGCCUUGGCCGCAAGCUCCUCCGAAGAACCCGGGGCGCCCACGCGAGAACCUCCCCGCCAGGUUCUCUCUUCAGGGAUGACAUCACCAUUCACCUCCUUGUCUUCAAGGACCACCUGUUGAUGCCCAGCUGCUGCCAAGGUGCUUGCUGCUCAUCUCCACCUUAUGAAGACAUCAGGAGCACCCAUUUUUGGAUCCCACCAGCAUACCAAGCAGCCACUGGCAGAGACCCCCCAGGACCAGGACCACUGAGGCCGAAGAGGACCAGAACUGACCAACCCGCUGUUCCUCUUGGCUAAAGACUUAAUCCAAUGCCCUAGUGAGGGGGCAUUGGACAUUAACCCCUGACCUUUGCUAUGCUUGUGCCUAUUGCUAUGAAUACUUCCCUGUAAGUCUCUGCUUGUGUUAAUAUGCCAGCGACCUGGAGUGUUUCCCUCCCCAAGAAGGUGUCAGUUUUUCUCAGCUGACCCUAUUGUUGCCCGUAUGAUGUCCUGAAUAGAAGGAUCCCUUUGGGAACUUCUCAGGAGGGGGACCUGGGCCAAGGGCUCCGCCAGCAAACCGCUGGCAAUUCCAAAGCCGUGGUGGGCUUCUGGAAUGAGCAUGAGCCCUGACGUCAUGGGCAUCCCUGCCCCUUUGGGGAUCUCCCUGUUCUUUCGGGGGAAUGGUGAUGAGAAGAGCAACCUCCUAGGGUUGUUGUGAGUAUUAAAUGAGCCAAAUUAGCCUGGGGCAGGGCUGGGCAUAGAGGAGGUGUUCAGCAAACAUUUGUUGAAAGUUGGAUAGGUCAGUCCAUCCCCACCAGUGUCACUUGUCUUACGUCUCUUGUUUAUUUCCCCACAGCACUCCGACAGCCCCUGUCCACGGGGCUCUCCCGCACAGCCAAGCUUCUCCAAAGGCCUGUCUCCACCUGCUGUCUUCCUUCCUCACCUCCAAUUUCCUCUUCAACCCACUGCUUCCUGCCUCCUCUACGCCGCCGCGCGGCCUUCACCAAGGGUUGACCCGGGGCCGGGUCAGCUGAAGAACUGAUGGAAGAGGCAGAAGAGCCCCCGAGGACACCGCCCUGGACCAAGCCCUCCUUCCCAACAGCUGCGUGGCACCCCGCGCCCAGCCUCUCGCCUCCGUCCUGGUUUGGGACGAAGCCAUCGUCCGGAAUUCGUCGUGGGAUGGGACCUCAGACAAGCAACCCCCGCAUCCUCCACCUGUGAAAUCCCUCCACAGCCACGGGGACGCCCUGCACACAUUCCCUCGGGACAGGCUGGACCCACAGACUCUGGACCCGGCUGCCCCCUGCGAGGAGGGGUGUGCCCUCCUCCUCCUCCUCCCCUGCGGUAGCCGCCCACCCUUUGCGGAUGGACUUCACUGAGCUGAGGGUCAGACACGUGGGCUUGACCCCUGCCCACACCUUACGAACCCUGAGACUUAGGGGACUGGCUAUGCCUUCGACAUCCGCAUCUGAGAAAUGGGCUCUGCAACCUACCUCACAGGGUUGUUGUGAGGAGCCUGUGAUGCGGUCUGAAAGUGCCCAACCUGGGGCUUGGCACACCCUGUUGUGCUGUCAAUAAAUGUCUUUUUU